RNAcentral lists this ribosomal RNA (465 nucleotides) under Vreelandella stevensii. RNAcentral describes it as "partial 16S ribosomal RNA". It matches the Rfam family "Bacterial small subunit ribosomal RNA", at positions 338 to 795 of the family's 1533-position model. Lineage: Bacteria; Pseudomonadati; Pseudomonadota; Gammaproteobacteria; Oceanospirillales; Halomonadaceae. The record is from RNAcentral.
CCUACGGGUGGCAGCAGUGGGGAAUAUUGGACAAUGGGGGGAACCCUGAUCCAGCCAUGCCGCGUGUGUGAAGAAGGCCCUCGGGUUGUAAAGCACUUUCAGUGAGGAAGAACGCCUGGUGGUUAAUACCCAUCAGGAAAGACAUCACUCACAGAAGAAGCACCGGCUAACUCCGUGCCAGCAGCCGCGGUAAUACGGAGGGUGCGAGCGUUAAUCGGAAUUAUUGGGCGUAAAGCGCGCGUAGGUGGCUUGAUAAGCCGGUUGUGAAAGCCCCGGGCUCAACCUGGGAACGGCAUCCGGAACUGUCAAGCUAGAGUGCAGGAGAGGAAGGUAGAAUUCCCGGUGUAGCGGUGAAAUGCGUAGAGAUCGGGAGGAAUACCAGUGGCGAAGGCGGCCUUCUGGACUGACACUGACACUGAGGUGCGAAAGCGUGGGUAGCAAACAGGAUUAGAUACCCCAGUAGUC